This 1372-nucleotide ribosomal RNA is filed under the name uncultured bacterium. RNAcentral's name for it is "bacterial SSU rRNA". It matches the Rfam family "Bacterial small subunit ribosomal RNA", at positions 28 to 1381 of the family's 1533-position model. The record is from RNAcentral.
GAUGAACGCUGGCGGCGUGCCUAAUACAUGCAAGUCGAGCGAACGGACGAGAAGCUUGCUUCUCUGAUGUUAGCGGCGGACGGGUGAGUAACACGUGGAUAACCUACCUAUAAGACUGGGAUAACUUCGGGAAACCGUAGCUAAUACCGGAUAAUAUUUUGAACCGCAUGGUUCAAAAGUGAAAGACGGUCUUGCUGUCACUUAUAGAUGGAUCCGCGCUGCAUUAGCUAGUUGGUAAGGUAACGGCUUACCAAGGCAACGAUGCAUAGCCGACCUGAGAGGGUGAUCGGCCACACUGGAACUGAGACACGGUCCAGACUCCUACGGGAGGCAGCAGUAGGGAAUCUUCCGCAAUGGGCGAAAGCCUGACGGAGCAACGCCGCGUGAGUGAUGAAGGUCUUCGGAUCGUAAAACUCUGUUAUUAGGGAAGAACAUAUGUGUAAGUAACUGUGCACAUCUUGACGGUACCUAAUCAGAAAGCCACGGCUAACUACGUGCCAGCAGCCGCGGUAAUACGUAGGUGGCAAGCGUUAUCCGGAAUUAUUGGGCGUAAAGCGCGCGUAGGCGGUUUUUUAAGUCUGAUGUGAAAGCCCACGGCUCAACCGUGGAGGGUCAUUGGAAACUGGAAAACUUGAGUGCAGAAGAGGAAAGUGGAAUUCCAUGUGUAGCGGUGAAAUGCGCAGAGAUAUGGAGGAACACCAGUGGCGAAGGCGACUUUCUGGUCUGUAACUGACGCUGAUGUGCGAAAGCGUGGGGAUCAAACAGGAUUAGAUACCCUGGUAGUCCACGCCGUAAACGAUGAGUGCUAAGUGUUAGGGGGUUUCCGCCCCUUAGUGCUGCAGCUAACGCAUUAAGCACUCCGCCUGGGGAGUACGACCGCAAGGUUGAAACUCAAAGGAAUUGACGGGGACCCGCACAAGCGGUGGAGCAUGUGGUUUAAUUCGAAGCAACGCGAAGAACCUUACCAAAUCUUGACAUCCUUUGACAACUCUAGAGAUAGAGCCUUCCCCUUCGGGGGACAAAGUGACAGGUGGUGCAUGGUUGUCGUCAGCUCGUGUCGUGAGGUGUUGGGUUAAGUCCCGCAACGAGCGCAACCCUUAAGCUUAGUUGCCAUCAUUAAGUUGGGCACUCUAAGUUGACUGCCGGUGACAAACCGGAGGAAGGUGGGGAUGACGUCAAAUCAUCAUGCCCCUUAUGAUUUGGGCUACACACGUGCUACAAUGGACAAUACAAAGGGCAGCGAAACCGCGAGGUCAAGCAAAUCCCAUAAAGUUGUUCUCAGUUCGGAUUGUAGUCUGCAACUCGACUACAUGAAGCUGGAAUCGCUAGUAAUCGUAGAUCAGCAUGCUACGGUGAAUACGUUCCCGGGUCU